RNAcentral lists this ribosomal RNA (365 nucleotides) under uncultured bacterium. RNAcentral's name for it is "bacterial SSU rRNA". It matches the Rfam family "Bacterial small subunit ribosomal RNA", at positions 578 to 948 of the family's 1533-position model. The record is from RNAcentral.
GAUUAACAAGUCUAGUGUGAAAUGCAGUUGCUUAACAACUGUUUGCAUUGGAAACUGUUAGUCUGGAGUGUGAUAGGGAGUUCUGGAACUCCAUAUGGAGCGGUGGAAUGCGUAGAUAUAUGGAAGAACACCUGUGGCGAAAGCGAGAACUUAGGUCACAACUGACGCUUAGGCUCGAAAGUGUGGGGAGCAAAUAGGAUUAGAUACCCUAGUAGUCCACACCGUAAACGAUGGUUAUUAGUUGUUGGUACGAAGUACUAGUAACGAAGCUAACGCAUUAAAUAACCCGCCUGGGGCACCAUUCGCAAGAAUGAUAAUCAAACGGAAUCACCGAAACCCGCCCAGCYGCUGGCCCAUGUUGUCUA